GGUUCGUUUUCCUGCACAAUCGGGACUGUGCAAUCAAGACAAACAGCUGCAAAACCCAUGGAGGCACUGUGGAUUGCAGUCUCAGGAUCCAAUUGGCAUUUUCUGGGACGGAUAAGCACCUAUCCAUUCUGAACUCAUGGUUGCUUUUCAUAUAUCCAGUGCAAGGAUUAGCUGGAGACAACGAAGAAGGAUCGACAGAUAAACGAUUGGGUUUUUGUAUUUCUGGGUCUGGAUGCUCUGGAUCUGCUCAAUAGCAUCGCUCAAUCUCCAUAUGACCAAGACAAGUUCCGCCUCAUGAAUUCAUUGUGAGAAUGCAUCCUCAAUAAGGUCACCCAAUCCCUCUUUCUCUCUUAAUUCACACUCGUUUCUGUGAAUCUGUGCUUGGUUUGUUUCUAAUUGAAUUUGAUAUCUGUGAGAAACCCAGUAAUUUGAUUAAACUAGUGACACAGAAUUGGGUAUGUUCUUGGGUUAUGAGUUGGAAUUUUAUAUAUUUUGAGUGUAUUUGAUUGCAGAAGGGCUGAAACCCAGAUUGAGAUUUGUUCAAGGCCAAAUAUUUAUGCUUAUAUUUUGCCUUGGAAAGUUUAAAGCUUGAUUUAGAUUCAUGAAGUUGAUAUGAUAUGUGUGCCUAUUUCUGUACUGGUAAUAACCAAUUUUAUCAUGGAUCGAAUUGCUUCGUGGUUCCAGUUUGUUACUGUGUAAUGUCCUACUUAACCUGGAUUAUGGCUUGCAUAGUCCAGGUACAAGCUUUGCUGCUGUGAAGUUAUCAAAGGAUCAAGCACCAAAGAAUUAAUGACAUGUUUAGGAAGAAGAGACUGGAUGACGUGUGUCACGGUAAAGUAGUAGUGGAUGCGAAGGUGGUCAACAAAGGCGAUACUCCAAAUUUGAUGUAGAGCAGGACACAAGUUAGAAGCUGCCAUUGAACAACUAGGUAUCAAUGUUUCUGCAAAGUAGCUCUUGACUAGGGUUAUCAAUCAGCGGAUUUAUCAACUGUUUACUUCAGUGUGGUGUAACUUUUGUUUAUGGAGUUGAUGUUGUAUAUGGAUAGUUUUACAGGCAAGUGAUCAAGUUGAUUUGUUCCUCUUACCAGGAGUAGCAUUUGACAGACCUGGGAGACGUUUGGCUUGCGACAGAGGCAAAUCUUGCUCAAGUGAGGGAGGCAAAUCAAGGCAGAUCAAGCAGAAAGACAAGAAAUGCAACUUGCAGAGCGAGUUGAUGGCUGCAAAGUCCACUGCAGCUCAGCAAUGAGGAGUUAGAAAUCGUCAAAGCUGGUGCAGCUCAGCAAAUUGAAGAGUUAGAGGCAGUGAAGGCUAAAGCCGCUGCACAAAAUGAAGAGUUUGGAGGCACUAAAGGCAAGACAAAAUCAUACUGACAUACUUUUACUUAAAUUGAUGCGUUAUCCUCCCAAAACUGAUGAUUGGUCUAAGCUUCAAAAAAGUACAUCUUGCAAACUAUCAUUGAAGGCUUAUGGAACUUCUAGAAAGACUUGUAUGUAUUCCGAUUUAUUUUGAAAUUGCUAUUAAGGAUGGAUAUUGACAUUUGUUUAUUUUGGAUAUGCAAAUGUAAUAGAGAUACGUGUCUUAUAUUGUAUUGGAAUUGAGUAGUUUAAUAUUGA
Rosa rugosa (rugosa rose) is the source of this 1612-nucleotide RNA transcript. RefSeq lists it as uncharacterized. The transcript is spliced from 10 exons. NCBI's taxonomy places the organism in Eukaryota, Viridiplantae, Streptophyta, Magnoliopsida, Rosales, Rosaceae. The record is from RefSeq and is a predicted model, not a curated record.